AACGAACGCUGGCGGCAUGCCUAACACAUGCAAGUCGAACGAGACCUUCGGGUCUAGUGGCGCACGGGUGCGUAACGCGUGGGAACCUGCCUUUAGGUUCGGAAUAACUCAGAGAAAUUUGAGCUAAUACCGGAUAAUGUCUUCGGACCAAAGAUUUAUCGCCUUUAGAUGGGCCCGCGUAAGAUUAGCUAGUUGGUGGGGUAAAGGCCUACCAAGGCGACGAUCUUUAGCUGGUCUGAGAGGAUGAUCAGCCACACUGGGACUGAGACACGGCCCAGACUCCUACGGGAGGCAGCAGUGGGAAUAUUGGACAAUGGGCGAAAGCCUGAUCCAGUAAUGCCGCGUGAGUGAUGAAGGCCUUAGGGAUGUAAAGCUCUUUUACCUGAGAUGAUAAUGACAGUAUCGGGAGAAUAAAGCUCCGGCUAAACUCCGUGCCAGCAGCCGCGGUAA
Molecule: ribosomal RNA, 450 nt
Filed under: uncultured bacterium
Lineage: Bacteria
Description: bacterial SSU rRNA
Rfam family: Bacterial small subunit ribosomal RNA
Source: RNAcentral